Unclassified non-coding RNA from Chlorocebus sabaeus (green monkey), 93 nucleotides. It matches the Rfam family "Y RNA". Rfam says of the family: Y RNAs are components of the Ro ribonucleoprotein particle (Ro RNP), in association with Ro60 and La proteins. The Y RNAs and Ro60 and La proteins are well conserved, but the function of the Ro RNP is not known. The record is from Ensembl. Lineage: Eukaryota; Metazoa; Chordata; Mammalia; Primates; Cercopithecidae.
UGCUGGUCUGAGUGCAGUGGCGUUUACAACUAAACCAGUUACAGAUUUAUUUGUUCCUUCUCCACUCCCACUGCUUCACUUGACUAGCCUAAA